RNAcentral lists this non-coding RNA (979 nucleotides) under Balearica pavonina (black crowned-crane). RNAcentral describes it as "12S ribosomal RNA". It matches the Rfam family "Bacterial small subunit ribosomal RNA". The record is from RNAcentral. Lineage: Eukaryota; Metazoa; Chordata; Aves; Gruiformes; Gruidae.
AAAGACUUAGUCCUAACCUUACUGUUAAUUCUUGCCAAACAUAUACAUGCAAGUAUCCGCGCCCCAGUGUAAAUGCCCUCAAUCCCUAAUCCCUCUAGGCAGGAGGAGCAGGUAUCAGGCACACCCAUAGCUGUAGCCUAAGACGCCUUGCCUAGCCACACCCCCACGGGUACUCAGCAGUAAUUAACAUUAAGCAAUAAGUGAAAGCUUGACUUAGUUAUGGCAACACCUAGGGUUGGUAAAUCUUGUGCCAGCUACCGCGGUCAUACAAGAGACCCAAAUUAACCGUAACACGGCGUAAAGAGUGGUACUAUGCUAUCAUAACAACUAAGAUCAAAAUGCAACUGAGCUGUCAUAAGCCUAAGCUGCAUCUAAAACCAUUGUCAAAACAAUCUUAGCAACCAUGACUGAUUAAACCCCACGAAAGCUAGGGCACAAACUGGGAUUAGAUACCCCACUAUGCCUGGCCCUAAAUCUCGAUACUUACCCCCACUGAAGUAUCCGCCUGGGAACUACGAGCACAAACGCUUAAAACUCUAAGGACUUGGCGGUGCCCCAAACCCACCUAGAGGAGCCUGUUCUAUAAUCGAUAACCCACGAUCCACCCGACCACUCCUUGCCAACGCAGCCUACAUACCGCCGUCGCCAGCUCACCUCUUCUGAGAGCCCUACAGUGGGCACAAUAGCCCCUCCCCACGCGCUAAUAAGACAGGUCAAGGUAUAGCCCAUGGAGUGGAAGAAAUGGGCUACAUUUUCUAAAAUAGAAGACUCACGAAAAGGGGACUGAAACUCUCCCCUAGAAGGCGGAUUUAGCAGUAAAGAGAAAUAAUAAUGUCCUCUUUAAGUCGGCUCUGAGGCACGUACAUACCGCCCGGGACCCUCCGGACAAGCUAUGAACCCCUAAGUAAAUAAACCACCAAUCAGCCAAAGACGAGGUAAGUCGUAACAAGGUAAGUGUACCGGAAGGUGCACUUAGCAC